This 415-nucleotide unclassified non-coding RNA is filed under the name uncultured fungus. RNAcentral describes it as "partial contains small subunit ribosomal RNA, internal transcribed spacer 1, and 5.8S ribosomal RNA". The stretch from base 1 to 73 matches the Rfam family "Eukaryotic small subunit ribosomal RNA", at positions 1759 to 1831 of the family's 1831-position model. The record is from RNAcentral. Lineage: Eukaryota; Fungi.
ACAAACUUGGUCAUUUAGAGGAAGUAAAAGUCGUAACAAGGUUUCCGUAGGUGAACCUGCGGAAGGAUCAUUAUUGAAUUAUGUUUCUGGACGGGCUGUAGCUGGCUCUUCGGAGCAUGUGCACGCCUGUUCGGACUUCAUCCUUCAUCCACCUGUGCACCUAUUGUAGUCUCUGGUUGGGUAGCGGUGAAGCGGUCAGCCUGUCAGCACCUGCUGGAUGUGAGGACUUGCAAUGCGAGAGCUUUGCUGUCCUUGCUUGGCCGUGGAGCCCGUUGCCUUGCUGGAUUCUAUGUUACUUCAUUAUACCCCGUCGAAUGUCUUUGAAUGUCUUUACAUGGGCUUGUAUGCCUAUGAAAAUUGUAAUACAACUUUCAGCAACGGAUCUCUUGGCUCUCGCAUCGAUGAAGAACGCAGC